Molecule: unclassified non-coding RNA, 381 nt
Filed under: soil metagenome
Description: partial contains 5.8S ribosomal RNA, internal transcribed spacer 2, and large subunit ribosomal RNA
Rfam family: 5.8S ribosomal RNA (bases 1-120)
Source: RNAcentral
GAUGAAGAACGGAGCGAAAUGCGAUAAGUAAUGUGAAUUGCAGAAUUCAGUGAAUCAUCGAAUCUUUGAACGCACCUUGCGCUCCUUGGUAUUCCGAGGAGCAUGCCUGUUUGAGUGUCAUUAAUAUAUCAACCUCUUCAGCUUAUGCUUGUUGAGUGUUGGAUGGUGGGGGUUUGCUGGUGUCUUAUGAAGUCAGCUCCUCUGAAAUGCAUUAGCGGAACAAUUUGUUGACCGUUCAUUGGUGUGAUAAAAAUAUCUACGCUAUUGACGUCAGUCAGUUCAGCUUCUAACAGUCCAUUGACUUGGACAAAUUUUUCAUUAAUGUGACCUCAAAUCAGGUAGGACUACCCGCUGAACUUAAGCAUAUCAAUAAGCGGAGGA